GUUCAGUGGCGGAAGGGUUAGUAAUACAUGGGUAACCUGCCUUUAACUCUGGGAUAACGGUUGGAAACGACCGCUAAUACCGGAUAGGGUGAAAAGAAGGAUUCUUUUUCUAUUAAAGUGGGGGAUCGCAAGACCUCGCGGUUAAAGAGAGGUCCAUGGGAUAUCAGAUAGUUGGUGUGGUAAAGGCGCACCAAGGCUAAGACGUCUAGGCGGAUUGAGAGAUUGACCGCCAACACUGGGACUGAGAACUGCCCAGAAUCCUACGGGAGGCUGCAGUCGAGAAUCAUUCGCAAUGGGCGAAAGGCUGACGAUGCGACGCCGUGUGAGUCAAGAAGGCCUUAGGUUCGUAAAGCUCUUUCGCCUGGGAACAAGAGAGGCCGGCUAAUAUCCAGCAGUUUUGAGGGUACCAGGUAAAGAAGCACCGGCUAACUCCGUGCCAGCAGCUGCGGUAAUACGGAGGGUGCAAGCAUUAAUCGGAUUUAUUGGGCGUAAAGGGCGCGUAGGCGGGGAUAUUAGUCAGAUGUGAAAUCCUGGGGCUCAACCUCAGAACUGCAUUUGAAACUGUAUUCCUAGAGGAUAGGCGGAGAAAACGGAAUUCCACAAGUUGCGGUGAAAUGCGUAGAUAUGUGGAAGAACACCGGUGGCGAAGGCGGUUUUCUAGCUUAUUCCUGACGCUGAGGCGCGAAAGCAAGGGGAUCAAACAGGAUUAGAUACCCUGGUAGUCCUUGCCGUAAACUAUGUAUACUUGGUGUAACUGGACUCAACCCCAGUUGUGCCGGACCUAACGCGUUAAGUGUACCGCCUGGGGAGUACGGUCGCAAGGGUGAAACUCAAAAGAAUUGACGGGGACCCGCACAAGCAGUGGAGCAUGUGGUUUAAUUCGAUGCAACGCGAAGAACCUUACCCAGACUUGACAUGUAGAGAACUUUCUUAGAAAUGGGGUCUUCCGAAGGGACUGCUAAACAGGUGCUGCAUGGCUGUCGUCAGCUCGUGCCGUGAGGUGUUUGGUUAAGUCCCGCAACGAGCGCAACCCUUGUCAUUAGUUGCCAGCACUUUAGUUGGGCCCUCUAAUAAAACUGCCUGGGUUAACCAGGAGGAAGGUGGGGAUAAAGUCAAGUCCGCAUGGCCCUUAUGGGUGGGGCUCCACACUUCUUACAAUGGCAGGUACAGAAGGGUGCCCACCCGCGAGGGGGAACAAUUCCCAAAAAGCCGGCCCCAGUUCAGAUUGUAUUCUGCAACUCGACUUCAUGAAGUCGGAAUUGCUAGUAAUGGCGAGUCAGCAACAUCGCCGUGAAUACGUUCCCGGGUCUUGUACACACCGCCCGUCACAUCAUGGGAGUUGGUUUUACCCGAAUCCGCUGGCUUAACCGCAAGGAAAGAGGCGUGUA
Molecule: ribosomal RNA, 1388 nt
Filed under: uncultured Parachlamydiaceae bacterium cvE5
Lineage: Bacteria; Pseudomonadati; Chlamydiota; Chlamydiia; Parachlamydiales; Parachlamydiaceae
Description: bacterial SSU rRNA
Rfam family: Bacterial small subunit ribosomal RNA
Source: RNAcentral